CGCUAGCGGCAGGCUUAACACAUGCAAGUCGAGGGGUAUUGGUUUUCGGACCAAGAGACCGGCGCACGGGUGCGUAACGCGUAUGCAAUCUACCUUUUACAGAGGGAUAGCCCAGAGAAAUUUGGAUUAAUACCUCAUAGUAUUAUUGAAUGGCAUCAUUUAAUAAUUAAAGUCACAACGGUAAAAGAUGAGCAUGCGUCCCAUUAGCUUGUUGGUAAGGUAACGGCUUACCAAGGCAACGAUGGGUAGGGGUCCUGAGAGGGAGAUCCCCCACACUGGUACUGAGACACGGACCAGACUCCUACGGGAGGCAGCAGUGAGGAAUAUUGGUCAAUGGGCGCAAGCCUGAACCAGCCAUGCCGCGUGCAGGAUGAAGCAUCUAUGGUGUGUAAACUGCUUUUGUACGAGAAGAAACACUCCUACGUGUAGGAGCUUGACGGUAUCGUAAGAAUAAGGACCGGCUAACUCCGUGCCAGCAGCCGCGGUAAUACGGAGGGUCCAAGCGUUAUCCGGAAUCAUUGGGUUUAAAGGGUCCGUAGGCGGUUUAGUAAGUCAGUGGUGAAAGCCCAUCGCUCAACGGUGGAACGGCCAUUGAUACUGCUAGACUUGAAUUAUUAGGAAGUAACUAGAAUAUGUAGUGUAGCGGUGAAAUGCUUAGAUAUUACAUGGAAUACCAAUUGCGAAGGCAGGUUACUACUAAUUGAUUGACGCUGAUGGACGAAAGCGUGGGGAGCGAAUAGGAUUAGAUACCCUGGUAGUCCACGCCGUAAACGAUGGAUACUAGCUGUUCGGAGCAAUCUGAGUGGCUAAGCGAAAGUGAUAAGUAUCCCACCUGGGGAGUACGUUC
RNAcentral lists this ribosomal RNA (847 nucleotides) under uncultured bacterium. Its description in RNAcentral is "bacterial SSU rRNA". It matches the Rfam family "Bacterial small subunit ribosomal RNA", at positions 34 to 887 of the family's 1533-position model. The record is from RNAcentral.